GAUGGGUUGGGAUGAUGGAAUGAGGGAAUGGUUGAAUGGAUGGAUUGGAGGGAGGGAGGGAUGGCUGGCUGAAGUGACAGGCAGAGAAGGUAAGGAGUGUGAAAGUGCCAACUAUGUGGCACAGAACACUGGUGACAGAUCUUCAUCAUUCUUCCUUGUACAUGUCAAAUACUGACGAAGUACCUGCUGUGUGUGAGUCACAGUCACAGUCACAGACAGGGGCGUACAACAGUGAGUAAAACCGUAUUGCCCUCAUGAUGUUUACUGUCAGUGAUGGAAACAGAUACGAACUGCAACUGAUCCCAAUUUUAGGAAGUAUUAUGUAUAUAAAAUGAGGUGUGGAUUUAGUGUCGUCAGGGUCGAGAGAGUGUAAGUACUGCAGGUUGGAUGAAAAGGUGUCCUGGAUGUUGGUGUAAGAAUGAAAGGACAAAGGACAAACUUGAUCCUGAUUCGAUCCCAAGGCCAGGGCCAAGAAACAAAAUCCCACCAAUCCCUGCCUGGGCUUUCCACAGAAACCCACCAAUCAUUAAACACUAAAACCCACCAGUCCCUGGACAGGAAAACCCACCAAUCCUGAGCUCACCCAAGCUCAGGAAUUGAAAUCUCACCAAUCCUCAUUCUGGAAACCUUCACCCAGGAAAGCUCCACCCCCACCCCAAAUCCUAUAUAUAAAUCCUGUGCUCUGCCUAGUUCCCUGCUGUUUCUCUCCCAAGCAGAGGCAGUCUCCCUCCUGGGUUUUUCCCUCCCGACAAUCUCUUGUGUGAGGUUUGUUGUACAGCGUGGCUUUAUGCUUUAUGGUAUUCCUUUAUGGUGUCUCCGAACUGCUAGGAUACCUCUCAGAGCAGAACUUGGAUAAGGGAAUCCUUCGCCUGCAACUGAAGGAGAGCUGGGACACUUCUAUAGGGAAGCCUUUCUGUUCGGAGCCAGGGCACUUAGAGUUGGGAACCAAGAAUACCACCAAGUGGCAGGGGGCAACAACCCUCACAUAAGAGAGUUGUUGGGAGGGAGAACCCCAGGAGGGAGGCAACCUCUGCUUGGGAGAGAAGCAGCAGACUGCAGUAGACAGGGGUUGUACAGGAUUGCUUAGGGGCAGGGCUUUCCAGGGUGGGGAGUGGCAAGAGUUCUAGUUUGACGCUUGGGCCUUUUACUGUAUAGGGCAGGAGCUGGGGCUGGCCAUUAGGACAGUUAAUGUCUGUAAGUGGAACCUGGUGGGUCAUGGUCUUCGGGGGAGGGGCCUGGCCACUUAUGUGCCUCAAGGGACUUACUGAGAUGCAGUCGAAAUGUCAGGACUAUGCAGAGUGUCAUGAAGUUGACUGUGGAGUUUCAUCUCCGGAAUGGGAGCUUCUCCCGAGGGAUGGCAGAGAUCCUUCCACUGAGAGCAGGGUGGCACUGUUCCUGAUCACACCGUGUUACUGAAAGAGAGAAAGAACACAGGGCUUUCUUGCUCCACACCCUCCCUACAAGCACGGACAUCUCCACCAUCUCGUCAUCCAGACAGCCCAGCUCCUCCUCCGAGCGCCCCAGGCUUCCAUGGAUCAGUAGUACAUCUUGGAUGUAGAUCCCACCACAUUCCCCAAACCUUCCUUCCCAGCAGCCGUCUCAGCUUCCAGUUAGUCUUGAGCUUGCGGCCACUCCUCCCCUCUCCUGCUGCAGGAUUUCUCCAACCACACAUCACAGUCCAUUAGUGAGCGGGUCAGGCCAUCAAUACAGUGGACGUGAGAAGCCUUUUACAACAGGGCAGACUAGACUGGAAGCUGUUGGAUCACACUGUGUGUACGUCUUCAGCGUGAAGGGUGAUAGUGGCAGCCCUGUUAUGUGAACCUUCUCUCACCCUGGAGACAAGCUCCCUUACCAUGGUACAUCUGUGGCAAUGCUGAACGUUCCUAGAAUUGAGAAGAUCUCUGUUAAGCUCAGAUUUUCUCUGAAGCCCAAGAAGGUGUAAAUCACUGACACUAUUUGAAAUGUAGUUUUGUUCUAAGCAUAAAUUUAUUUCUCAAAUAGGAAUAUUGCCUGGUAUCACAUCAAAAUGGUCCCAAUUAUUCUUCCAGUUUAAGUACGCACAGAUCUUCCCAUAGCUAGCAAAAAAAUCGGGGAGGGGAGGGGGGCUUGAUGGCAACACUCUGAGGAAUAUGACCCAUGAGGCAAACAUACAAGGCAAAGAAAGUCAUGAAGUAUUUGUGCCAGAGAACCACCUAGAACCUCCCAGAGCUCAGAGCUUUUUGACGUACUUCCAGCUAUGCCACACUAUUAGGAGUCUGUAAACUCUGCUUCUGACACAGAUUCAACUAGGAUCCAGUGAGGUCCUACUUUGCAUGAUGUAGGGUUUAUCGUUUGUGUUGGGGACAUCGUGGGUGGGGGGUGAUUCUCCUGAGGAGGCAUCAAAGAAAUAUUUUUUUCUCAGAAAUAAGAAGGUUGCAGACUGGCCAAGAAAGAUUCUGGUGGAUCCAUCUUGGUGAAGUAAGCAAGAUCACUCUGAUUACCUACAGCAGCAUGGGCUGAUGGUGAGCGGCUGGACCACACAGCUCCAAGCCCUGCCUAGCUCCCGCUGUCUAUGGCUCCAAGUCUAAAGCAGAACUCAGACAAAGCCGGGUGCAGCUCUCCCUAGUGUUAAAGCAUAGUGGGUGGCCAUAGGCUCCAGGGAUGGAAGGAAGGAGCAGAUGAAAGCCAACUUCAGAAGUUCUGUGUCCAUGAGAGCUGCCCCACCCUAGCACAUACCGGGAAUGCUUGGCCAAUGCUGAUCAAACGUGGGAAGAAUGGUCUAUCUCACUUCAGCAUGGCACAAAGGACAGCUUAGUGGUAUCUUGUUGCAAGAUGAACCCAGGAUUCUAGGGACUACACCAUGCCCCAAAUGCUCAUCUCUCGAGAAAAACUGGCGACGCUGUGGAAAUUUGGGGAGAGUCGUGUAACCCAAGGUUUAUCAUUUACUAGGUAACGCCUGCUUUUCCCCCAGGGGCAAAGGGAGACGAUGCCUGUUUGUUUAUUUAAGGUGUUCUGUUUUGUUUUGAGACAGGAUCUCGUGUAGCCCAGGCUGGCUUCAAACUUUCUAUGUAGCUGAGAAUGACCUUGAACCUCUGACCCUCCUGCCUCCAACCCCUCACUGGAAGGUACUGGGUAUCCCGUGACAAACGCGCCUGCUUUCUGCCACAGAGCAGCUGAGUCAUCAUCAUCAAGCCCUUAGCAAGUCAACAGCUGGGGAUGGAUUAUGGAGAGCCACACAUCUAGAGAAAAAGAAUGAGCCCAGCCCUCCCUAGACCAACAAAAGCAUUUCGGUAGCCGUGUGGCUGAGCCAGCGGGGCAAGGGAUCACUGGUUGUUACAAAGUGGUUGCUUUUCUUAUCAAAUCCAAAGCCCUCCUGCAGGUAGGAAGGUCUGUGGGUGCUGACCUGGUGGUCCAAUGUUUACCAGGCAUGAAGGAGGUUCCUGGAGUUGAUGCCCAGCACUGGAAAAAACAGAUUGCUAGAUACUUGAUCAGUUCAAGACAGACCAGCAUGGAUUUUCAAAAGCUGUGACUCCUGCCUUACAGCCACUCACAAAAGGAAGUGACCUCAUGGGCUGCCCGCGGGUGCCGCCACCCACAGAAUGAACAGCACUUGCUGUGGGUCACAGCCGGGACUGAAGUCCAGGAAAGUUGCUAGACCCUGGGCUCCUUUAGUGACUUGCUGUGAUAAAACCAUUCUGACAAAGCAACUUAAAGGAGAGGGGUUCAGGCCAGCUGCCCAGGCUAUAGUCCACCAUGGCAGGAAGUUCCGGCUGCAGGAGCCUGAGAGACCUGCUCACAUCACAUCCAGUCACAAGAGAGCGACGAAUGCGCCAGUCUUAGUGCUGAGCUCAUUUCGUCCACUUAGGCAGUCCCAUGCCAGUCACAACUAAAGUGCAUCUUCCCACACUGCUUAAAGAAUCAAGACAUUGCCCCAAGCACAUGCUCAGAGCCCCUGAUCAUCACACAGACCAAGCCAACCCUUCUUGAAUUCUGUCAUCCACUGCUAGCCUAUGAUAUGGCCUUUCCAAGGUUCUUAAAUCUUUCUGUAGGAGGGUCAGAGAACAGUGUGGUUCAAAUGCUGGAUCUUACAUCCCUGAGCUUGGUCGUACGUUCAACAUCCCUGGAUUUCCCCACAAAAGAGUUGACCUUGAAAUGACCCACUCUGUGCCAUCUCCUCGAGUCUGCAUCAGUCCAGAUAUAGACCGGUCACUGUCAGAGCUAGUCUCAGCACAGGAAGCAACCUGACUCAUCUUCCACAGGAUAAUUCCAGCCCAUGGCCUGUGGGUCACAUGGAGCCCAGAAGAGCUAUCAAUACAGUCCAACCCAAAGUCAUAAAGUGACUUAAAGUAUUACAAAUUUGGGGGCAAUAUUUUAGGUUUUUUUUUUUUUUUGUUAUUUUUGGGUUUUGUUUUUAUUCAAUUCUGAUUCUUAAGCAUGAAUGGUCACAAUGUCAAAAUGUGAACGAGCAAACCACCAUUUUGAAUCCCCAGUAGACAGAUUCUUGGCAGAGAAGGAGGCAAUCCGGCCCCUCUGUCUCAUGCAUGGACAUUGUCUAUUUCCCCUUUAAUGCCUAGAAUUGACUCUGUAAAUAUUCUAAGAAUAAAACCAAUAUGACUAAGCAGAA
Molecule: long non-coding RNA, 4603 nt
Organism: Mus musculus (house mouse)
Lineage: Eukaryota; Metazoa; Chordata; Mammalia; Rodentia; Muridae
Product: predicted gene, 40167
Exons: 2
Source: RefSeq, a predicted model, not a curated record